This 514-nucleotide ribosomal RNA is filed under the name uncultured bacterium. Its description in RNAcentral is "partial 16S ribosomal RNA". It matches the Rfam family "Bacterial small subunit ribosomal RNA", at positions 28 to 523 of the family's 1533-position model. The record is from RNAcentral.
GAUGAACGCUGGCGGCGUGCCUAAUACAUGCAAGUCGAGCGAACUGAUUAGAAGCUUGCUUCUAUGACGUUAGCGGCGGACGGGUGAGUAACACGUGGGCAACCUGCCUGUAAGACUGGGAUAACUUCGGGAAACCGAAGCUAAUACCGGAUAGGAUCUUCUCCUUCAUGGGAGAUGAUUGAAAGAUGGUUUCGGCUAUCACUUACAGAUGGGCCCGCGGUGCAUUAGCUAGUUGGUGAGGUAACGGCUCACCAAGGCAACGAUGCAUAGCCGACAUGAGAGGGUGAUCGGCCACACUGGGACUGAGACACGGCCCAGACUCCUACGGGAGGCAGCAGUAGGGAAUCUUCCGCAAUGGACGAAAGUCUGACGGAGCAACGCCGCGUGAGUGAUGAAGGCUUUCGGGUCGUAAAACUCUGUUGUUAGGGAAGAACAAGUACGAGAGUAACUGCUCGUGCCUUGACGGUACCUAACCAGAAAGCCACGGCUAACUACGUGCCAGCCGCCGCAGUAA